UGGGGAAUUUUGGACAAUGGGCGAAAGCCUGAUCCAGCAAUGCCGCGUGUGUGAAGAAGGCCUUCGGGUUGUAAAGCACUUUUGUCCGGAAAGAAAUCCUUGGCUCUAAUACAGUCGGGGGAUGACGGUACCGGAAGAAUAAGCACCGGCUAACUACGUGCCAGCAGCCGCGGUAAUACGUAGGGUGCAAGCGUUAAUCGGAAUUACUGGGCGUAAAGCGUGCGCAGGCGGUUUGCUAAGACCGAUGUGAAAUCCCCGGGCUCAACCUGGGAACUGCAUUGGUGACUGGCAGGCUAGAGUAUGGCAGAGGGGGGUAGAAUUCCACGUGUAGCAGUGAAAUGCGUAGAGAUGUGGAGGAAUACCGAUGGCGAAGGCAGCCCCCUGGGCCAAUACUGACGCUCAUGCACGAAAGCGUGGGGAGCAAAACAGGAUUAGGAUACCCUGGUAGUCCACGCCCUAAACGAUGUCAACUAGUUGUUGGGGAUUCAUUUCCUUAGUAACGUAGCUAACGCGUGAAGUUGACCGCCUGGGGAGUACGGUCGCAAGAUUAAAACUCAAAUGAAUUGACGGGGUCA
This 575-nucleotide ribosomal RNA is filed under the name uncultured bacterium. Its description in RNAcentral is "partial 16S ribosomal RNA". It matches the Rfam family "Bacterial small subunit ribosomal RNA", at positions 355 to 921 of the family's 1533-position model. The record is from RNAcentral.